RNAcentral lists this ribosomal RNA (495 nucleotides) under uncultured bacterium. RNAcentral's name for it is "partial 16S ribosomal RNA". It matches the Rfam family "Bacterial small subunit ribosomal RNA", at positions 28 to 507 of the family's 1533-position model. The record is from RNAcentral.
GACGAACGCUGGCGGCGUGCCUAAUACAUGCCAGUAGAACGCUGAAGGAGGAGCUUGCUUCUCUGGAUGAGUUGCGAACGGGUGAGUAACGCGUAGGUAACCUGCCUGGUAGCGGGGGAUAACUAUUGGAAACGAUAGCUAAUACCGCAUAAGAGUAGAUGUUGCAUGACAUUUGCUUAAAAGGUGCAAUUGCAUCACUACCAGAUGGACCUGCGUUGUAUUAGCUAGUUGGUGAGGUAACGGCUCACCAAGGCAACGAUACAUAGCCGACCUGAGAGGGGGAUCGGCCACCCUGGGACGGAGACACGGCCCAGACUCCUACGGGAGGCAGCAGUAGGGAAUCUUCGGCAAUGGACGGAAGUCUGACCGAGCAACGCCGCGUGAGUGAAGAAGGUUUUCGGAUCGUAAAGCUCUGUUGUAAGAGAAGAACGAGUGUGAGAGUGGAAAGUUCACACUGUGACGGUAUCUUACCAGAAAGGGACGGCUAACUACGUG